AUCACUUAAUUAACAAUUUAGUUCAAGUAAAUGGCCAAGAAGGACAAGAGUGAAGCUCCAACCAGAGAUCCAACGGCGUUCAUGUUGCUUCCACUAGGUGCUGGAGCAGAAGCUCCAGGGCCAGCUGCGGCUGCAGCGGUGGGGGUGCCAGCGGGGGUGGCUGCAGCGGUUGUGGCUGCGGCAGGGGUGGCUGCUGUGGGGGUGGCUGCGGCGCCCUUUACAGGUUCAGCGUUGGCGGCUGCGGCGCCUUUUACAGGUUCAGCAGCCAUUGCUGCGCUUAUGCAGACAGCAACUACAAGGACAACCAAGGCAAUACUCUUCAUGGCCAUUUUGUGGGUGGCGUGUGGUCGGUCGAGGGAUCGAAAACACGCCUUGUAAACGGAUGUUAAGAAUUUAGAGUAUUGUAUUGAUCUCGUAGUAGUUUGUAGCUGUCCUGAGGAAAAUAGGGAGAGCCUUGGGGGUUAUAUAGCUUUGGAGUUUCUAACUAUGGAGGAGCAUGUUGGUUAUUUUUGGAAUAAAUCUGUUGGGUUUUGUUUGAGGUAGGGAACGGUUCUUAGGUCCGUGUGCUUUGCAUGAACAACGCCGCCUAUAAUGGUAUAACAAAAUAACAAAUGAAAUGCCACCUGUAUAGCUUAAAUAAUUUAGAGUGUUGCCCCUACUAUCGAGUUAUUUUGUUUGUAUCUCUAUUCUUCUAUUAUCAAACUCAUUUAGAAGUGCUUUUAAAAUGAUUGAAAACACUUUUAGUGAAAAUAUUUUAAGACCAUCGAGUUAUUUUGUUUGUAUCUCUAUUCUUCUAUUAUAAAGCUCGUUUGGGAGUGAUUUUACAAUGAUUGAAAACAUUUUUAGUGAAAAUAUUUUAUAACCAAUCCUUAGUUAUAAUUCAAGUAAAUCCUAAAAAAAUAUUUAAUGUGCUUCUUGCGAAAACACCUUAAGUGAUUUUAGAACCUAAAAACAUUUUCUCUAGAAGUGCUUUCAGUAAUUUUAAAAGUACUUCCAAACAAGCCCAUAACGUGUAUCUCUAUUCUCCCAAUAUUACUUGUAUCUUAAAACUACAAAGAAAUUAAUUAAAGAUGAUUUUAUUGAUAGUUGAUAUUAUUGACACUCUAAAAAAUCAUUUUGUACUUCUCAAAUUUAUUUUUCUUUCUAAAUAUACAAAAUUAGAAGUGCAUGUCUCAUAAUUGUUAAACAAACCUACAUAUUGAACAAAAAUGCACAUUUACUUUUUAGUAGGGGGAUUAUCUUAAAACACUCACUUAACAUACCCAAACUACUCUCACACACACCCUCUUCAUGUAACACAGUUCUGUAGUGUAGGAUACAACUGUCUUGCUCUCCUAAGAUUCUCAUUUUGAGGACCAAAUGCAUAUUAGCCACAAGAUUAUAUUAGUUUAGAUCCAAAAGUUUAAAAUAUUUGACAACUUAAUAAAACAAAACCAACUUAAAAUUUAUGAACCAUAAAAAAAAAACUCAUUUUCUUGUUUUGUUUUAUUAAGUUGUUAAAUAUUUUAUGCCUUUGGAUCUAAACUAAUAUAAUCAUGUGGCUAAUAUGCAUUUAGUCCUCACUGAUUCUCAAAAUGAAGACAUUAGGAGAGUAGUACUCCACUACUCAGGUACAACAAUUGUUACAACCAGUCCAUAAUUUUAUUUUAUUUAAAAAAAAAAUGUGAAACGAUCAAAAUGCCCUUAGAGGUAUGUGUUGACUUUCAUUGACUUACUGGUCAGGACACAUGUGACAUAUUAAUUAGUAUAUUCUAACAACACUCGUUAUUAUGAACGACUAAUCAUAAACAUAGCGAAAAUUAGAACUAGAAGAAAGAUUCUACGAAACACGUAUUAAUCAUUUUAUUUAAAGUAGUGGAAAAGAUAAUAACGCUAGUUAUAAAAUAUUAGUGAUGGAAUAAAAAUAAAUAAUUAUAGAGAAAUAAAAGAGAAGAGGGGAGAACUCUCGAGAAGGGGAGACGUCGGUGGAGAAGAAAGAAAAAAAAAGAAGGAAGGACGAUGGGGAUGGGGGAUUCUUGUUGCUGUGGAUGUUGAGAUCAGCGGGAACUCCCCCAUGCUUCAGGUUUGAGUUGUAUCGUUUCAUCUCUAUAAAAUACUAACAUGUGUCAAAAUAUAGAAAUAGAUAUCUAGCACUUCAACGAUAGAGACCAGUGUAAACCUUACUGUAUUCUGAUAAAGAAGAUAGAAGGAAGAUGGACGAGGGAAAUGUUUACAGAGAGGGAGAGAGAGAGAGGGAAGAAAGAUCUUUUUUCCAUUCAACAUACACACAUACACUGAUUACUGUUAUAUAUCAGUUUACAUGUUUACACAUUCCUUAUAACUACCCAAUCUAACUUCCUUCCUUAUCUAAUGACAAGUGGCAUCUUAUAAGCCAUUGGAUCACUAUCCUCAACAUCCCCCCGCAAGCUCAGGAGAGGAGUAACCUAACCUGAGGUUGUUACAAUGCGUUCGAAACAAUGGAGCAGAUAAUCCCUUAGUUAAAAUAUCAGCAAACUGAUCACCAGAGGUAACAAAUUGAACCUGCAGCAACCUUUUAGCAACUCGUUCUCGCACAAAAUGGAUGUCCACCUCAAUGUGUUUAGUUCGCUGAUGCAAAACUGGAUUACACGACAAUGCUAUUGCUGACAUAUUGUCACAGAAAAGAAUAGGUGGAGUAGUAACUUGAAUUUGGAGGAAGUCAAGUAAUUGUUUAAUCCAGUCAAGUUCAGCUGCAGUGGUGGAUAAGGCCCUGUAUUCAGCCUCAGUAGAUGAUCUAGAUACUGUUUGCUGCUUCUUAGAGGACCAAGAGAUGGGGUUAUGACCAAGGAAUACUACAAAACCGGUUGUUGAUCUCCUGUCGUUAGGAUCACCAGCCCAAUCAGCGUCUGAGAAAGCAUGUAAGUCCAUAGAACCUGGCACAUAGUUAAUACCAAGCUUGACAGUACCCUUAAGAUAUCUGAGAAUCCUUUUUACUGCAACAUAAUGUGAUUCCAUAGGCUUGUGCAUGAACUGACACACCUGAUGUACUGCAAACGCAAUGUCCGGCCGUGUAAAUGUGAGGUAUUGUAAAGCUCCAACUAUACUCCUGUAAAGUGCAGGAUUGUUGAAAGGUUUCCCAUCAUCCAACAGCAGCCUAUUAUAUGGUAAACAAGGUGUGGCACAAGAUUCUGAUUCUAACAUCUCAGUCUUUGUAAGAAGAUCAGUAACAUACUUUGUUUGGGAUAGGAAUAAGCCAUCAACAUGUUGAAUGAUCUGAAUCCCCAGAAAGUAGUGUAAAGGACCUAAAUCCUUGAUUUCAAAUUCCUUGGUUAAUGCAGCAAUGACAUCAACCAUAACGGAUGCAGUGUUUCCAGUGAUUAUUAUAUCAUCCACGUAUAAUAAGAGAAUCACAACUGAGGAACCACCUUGCUUCACAAAAAGUGAUGAAUAUGCAUAAGUUGCAUUAAAGCCAAUAGUAGGAAGAAAACUGGUGAAUCUGUCAUUCCAAGCCCUCGGGCCUUGUUUAAGGCCAUACAGAGACUUAUGGAGUCUGCAAACAUAAUCUGAACGGUGAACAUCAAGAAAUCCAGGUGGUUGAGACAUAUAAACCUCAUCCUGCAAUGUGCCAUGAAGAAAUGCAUUCUUCACAUUUAGUUGUCUUAGUGUCCAACCAAAAGUAGCUGCCAAGGCCAACACAAAUCUUACAGUAGUUGGUUUGACUACGGGACUAAAUGUUUCCCCAUAAUCAACGCCUUCUUCCUGAUUAAAACCUUUAGCAACUAGCCUAGCCUUAUACCUCCCAAUUGUUCCAUCAGCAUUUCUUUUAAUCUUGAAUACCCAUUUACAUCCAACUAAGUUUUUAGUUGGAGGUAAAGGUACUAAAGUCCAUGUGCCCUGAGAAUGUAAUGCAAAAAGCUUUUCCUUCAUUGCAUUGACCCAAACUUCACUCUUUAAUGUUGACUUAUAGGUGGCAGGUUCAACAGUCGAUAAAUCGACCCCCUCAUUCUCAUGAAAAGUUGCUAAAAGAGCCUUCUUCUUGGAAAUCCCACUUUUUGACCGAGUUUGCAUUGGAUGCAAAUUCAAUGAAGGAAUGGGGAGUACCACUUGUAAGUGCUCUGGUUGGAAAUCAGGGGUCACAGGGAUAACGGAAGAUGAUGAAUGUUCAAUUGCAGUAAUGGAUUGUGAAGAGUGUUGCACUACUGGAGGAUCAGGGGAUGGUGAUAUGAAAACAAGUGGUGGAGAGUCUGGAGGUGGUGAAUGUGGUAUUAAGGUAGGCUGAGAAGGACUAGAGUGUGAUGUGGAAGAAUUAGGGGUAUGGACAAUCGAAGAUGUAAGCACAUUUUGAAGAUUAGGGACAGGUAGAGGUAUUGAUGCUGAUAUAGAUGAUGAUCGAGACACUGGUAAAGGAUGUGGAGCAGCCAAAGAUGAGUAAGGAAACUCAUUCUCAUCAAAGAGGACAUGUCGAGAAAUAAAGACUUUCUUUCUGGACACGUCAUAACAGAUGAAACCUUUGUAUUUAGAAGCAUAACCAAGAAAUACACAUUUACUGGUUCUAGGUUGCAACUUGGUUGAAUUAAAAGGCCUUAACAGUGGGUAGCAUGAGCAGCCAAAAAUUCUUAAAUGGUUAACUUCAGGGACAUAUCCAAAUAGGACUUCAAAUGGUGAUUUAUGAUGAAGUGUUUGAGUAGGCAUUCUAUUAAUGAGAUAAACUGAGGUUUGACACGCAAAGGACCAGAAACUUGGAGGUAACUUAGCUUGUUGUAACAGGGUGAUGGAUGUUUCAAUAAUGUGUCUGUGCUUUCUCUCGGCCAUACCAUUUUGUUCAGGUGUGUGAGGACAUGACAUGUGAUGAGUUAUUCCAUUUUGAACUAGAAAGGACUGAAAUUGCUUGCCUAUGUAUUCACCCCCACCAUCACUUUGUAAGGUUUUAAUGGAAACAGAGAAAUGAUUUAACACAUACUGAUAAAAGGCAGCAAAGACAGAACAAACAGCUGAUUUAUUAGUGAUAGGAAAAAUCCAACAGUACCUUGUAUAUUCAUCUAUGAAGGUGACAUAGUAUUUAAAACCUUCUAUAGACAUACAAGGGGCAGGGCCCCACACAUCACUAUGAACAAUCUUAAAUGAUUUAUUGGAUUUUGACAAAACAGGCAUAAAAGGCAAUUUGCUAAAUUUUCCCUCUAAGCAUGUAGUACACAACAUUGGAGAAGAAUCUGGUACCACAUGUAUGUUGGACUUUUUAAGAAUGAGAGAGGUUAGGGGAUUAGAGGGAUGACCUAGUCGACUAUGCCAUAAGCUAGAGUUGACUUGAUGACCAAGAAAUGCAGUGGCUGGAAAAAUUGGUUUGGAGGAUGCAUAUCUGGUAGGCAUAGGAAUAGGGUACAAUCCAUUAUUGCAUAGGCCUCUGAACAGUACUCUCCCUGUGACUUUGUCCUGAAUCCAAAAACAGAAAGCAUAAAAAAUUAGCCAACAAUUGUUGUCAAGACAUAGUCUAUGUACUGAGAGCAAGUUUUGAGUAAGUUUAGGCACACAAAGCACAGAGUUCAACUUUAAUUUGUGAGCAGAAGUUUGCAAAACAGAAGAGCCCACAUGGGAUACACUCAAACCUUCACCAUUGGCAGUCAAUCAUUUCUGUGGAUGGAUAUGGUGUAGCUAGAGACAGAUUGCUUAGAUCAGCAGUCAUAUGGUUGGUAGCACCUGAAUCAGUGAGCCAUACUUGUGGAUUCAAUUGUUGGUCCAAAAAUGGCGCUGAGGCAUUAACAUGAUAUGCAUUCAUGGAUGACUGAGAAGUUGGACCAUUGGAAUUUCUGAAGUGACAGAACUGAGCACUGUGGUUUCUUUUUCCACAGAUUUGACAACCAUCAGGAAUUGGAGAAUCAGUGUUCCUAAAUCUGCAUGUAUCAGCAAAGUGACCAUAUUUCCCACAAAUUUGACAUGGUGACACCUGAGAAUUAGAGGAAGAGUAUUGGCUUGAUGGAGAGGUACCAAGGAUCCCUCGAGUUGAAUUGUUAUAAAACUGCUUGCCAUUGAAAGACUUAGAAUUGGAACCAUACUGAAAUUUCCCCCUUCCUUUAUUCUUGUUGUAGAAAGGUCUGUAGCUCGAAGGAUGAUAACCAGAUGAGUUACCAUCAGAAGAUCCACCUCCAGAGGUGAAAUGAGUCCCAGUGUUGAACCCUUUUUCCGUGGACUGUACAGUAGAAUCUCUAGCUACCAUAGCAGACAUAAAUGGAGUAGCAGAUAUAUUUUCAAGCAUGGCUUCCUCAGCAAGAAGUUGAGACAUAAGAUCUUUGAGGGAAAUUACACUGUCUCUUCCUCUAAUAAUCGAACGGAUGGUAUUAAACUCAGCAGAUAAGCCAUUUAGAGUAAGAAUUACUAUAUCCUCAUCAUCAAAUUUCACACUAGCAGCAGACAAGUAAUCUCUAGCCUCUUUGAUCCUUUGCAAAUAUAGAGAGAUCGAAUCAUUACCCUUUUUAAUGUUUUGAAGUGCAGAUUUCAUUUGAAAGAUACUAGUACGAGUCACUAUCGAAAAUUGUUCCUUCAGUCGAUUCCAGAGAUCUUGAGCACUUGUACUGCCAAUAACACACACGACACUGCAGGUGGUGAAAGAGUCGCCGUGAUCAAUUGCAUGAGGGCACGAUCAUGCAUCUUCCAAAUCUUGUAAGCCUCAGAGUCAGCUUGAGUGAAUGAGGGACCAGAAUUAGUCUCUGAUUCACUAGAAGUAGCUGUGAGAAAUCUUGGUGGACAGGGCAUUGAACCAUCAACAAACCCCAUAAUGCCAUAACCUUCGAGCAUCAAUUGAACCUGGAAAUUCCAAGUCAAGUAAUUGGAUUCAUCCAGCUUAACCGUUACAGAAGUAGAAACUGUGGAGAUAAGAGACGUAAUCGGGGACUGAAUGAUUUGUAGUUGAGAAGCCGUCACCAUUAUGAAGUAAUUCGACAAACAAGAACCAAGAAACUUUUGACAAACACCUGGUGUGCAAGAAUGUGUUUCUUGCAGAAAGAGAGAAAGAACACGAUGAAGACCCAAAAAAAAAACAGAAUCAAUUGUUUUCAAGAAGAAACUAAUGGAGAUCAGGAAGAAAGAAGAUGAAAAGCGGAAACGGAAGCAGUAUCACCAAGAUCGAUCACCGAGCGACAAGCUAUUCCGGCGAUGAUACCAUGUAAACCUUACUGUAUUCUGAUAAAGAAGAUAGAAGGAAGAUGACGAGGGAAAUGUUUACAGAGAGGGAGAGAGAGAGAGGGAAGAAAGAUCUUUUUUCCAUUCAACAUACACACACACACUGAUUACUGUUAUAUAUCAGUUUACAUGUUUACACAUUCCUUAUAACUACCCAAUCUAACUUCCUUCCUUAUCUAAUGACAAGUGGCAUCUUAUAAGCCAUUGGAUCACUAUCCUCAACAACCAGUACUUCCAAGAAUUUUACUCAAUCUCCCUUGCUUUCUCCUUGUUAUUUGGGCGAUGUGAGACGAAAACUAGCUCUGGGUUUCUUACUUUUUAUUGGGGUUGUUUACAGCAGUUGAUGAUCCUUCCAUUGUUGCAAGUAUUUCCCAAGAAACUUCUGGGUGCAAUUGUGUGUGUGUGUGUGUGUGUGUAACAUUGACAUACAUGCUUCAAUCAAACAGAACCCUCAUCAUACAUAAAUAUAUAUUGCUUUGUUUAUAAAUUUGAUGUGUUUUAAGCUCUGCACUUUGUAUAACCUUUUAUGAAAGGCUAAAUUGAUUUAGUGGAUGUAAGAAUCUGUCAAGUAUGUGUGAUUAGAGAAUUAGUCACUUGAAUUACAUAGAGUCCGAUUUUUGCUUUAUUCUAAAAUGCAUUUUCUAAUUAAACGAAGAUGGAGCUGGACAAAUAGUGACCCAAAUUAUGUUAUAUAAUGAAUUGACGAUGAUUUAUUUUGAAUGAACGCUUCUAUUCAACAUGAUGUGAAAUUAAAUUUCUUACUUGUUGGGAAAUGAUGUUGGUACACUGAGAUUUAUAGUUAUAGACGGAAAGUAUAAGAUUAGCUUGUAUUUUUUACGCACUUCAAAAUAUAUUCUCUGUUAUUGGAAGUACCUUUGGGGUUGAGUGAAUCAAAUGCACGGUUAGGUCCAUGUAAUAAGUAAGUACUAAGUAGAGACUCUGUCUUCCUAGGUAAAGACCCCAAAGAAAGUCAGUACGCAUGGGUAUACUGGUGGCCUUAUUUCGAUGUAGUGGCCAUGACCUUUUGUUAGAGCUUAUAGACAUGACAUUGAGGCCUGACCAAGAUGUUUAGAACCAAGAUUGAGAAACGUUGAUAAAGGAUUUCAUAAAUAAAAUAACGUAUAAUCAACCGGGGUUUUUAGAAUAACCAUGAAAUCUUCUAUUGAGGUGAGUUAGUAGCAUAGGUAUAGAUUUAUUUAUUAAGGUGAACUACGAAUGGUUUGAUCCCUAUUUAGGGUACGUAGGCAGUCUAACGAGGAAGUUAGAUGCAGCCAUAAAGCAUACGAAAAAUUACUAUGGAAUUGGGACUUGAGUUGUGCUUUGUUCGUAGUAAGUUAGAUAUACAGGCAUUUGGUGGCGUCACGUGUUGAUCCUGGACGUAUGUUGGGAUCGGGGUGUGACAACAAUACUCCACCGCAAUAUUGCAAUAUUUCAACAAACAGUGACUACAUAUACCUUGUAUUUUCAGUACAAAACUACUAAAACAAGUUCAAGUAUUCGGUUGCCUAUGACAUAAAUUAUAUAAAUUUGUAAAGUUCUUCCAAAAUAUUUUCGCGUGGCUUUACCUUGUACUUUCAGUGAGGGACUACUAAAAGAAGUUGAAAUAUCCAUUCCUUAUGACCGAAACUAUAGACACAUUUUGUUACAUCUCAACCGAAAUAUCUUUAUGUAUUGGUUGUUUUGUCUACCAAAACUGUAUCGUGGUUUUUAGUUUGGCCAUUAGUAUGACACUGUUAAACCUGAUGUACAACAACAACAACAACAACAACAACAACAACAAAGCCUUUUCCCACUAAGUGGGGUCGGCUAUAUGAAUCCUAGAACGCCAUUGCGCUCGGUUUUGUGUCAUGUCCUCUGUUAGAUCCAAGUACUCUAAGUCUUUUCUUAGAGUCUCUUCCAAAGUUGUCCUAGGUCUUUCUCUACCCCUUCGGCCCUGAACCUCUGUCCCGUAGUCACAUCUUCGAACCGGAGCGUCAGUCGGCCUUCUUUGCACAUGUUCAAAAUCACCGGAGCCGAUUUUCUCUCAUCUUUCCUACAAUUUCGGCUACUCCUACUUUACCUCGGAUAUCCUCAUUCCCAAUCUUAUCCUUUCUCGUGUGCCCACACAUCCCACGAAGCAUCCUCAUCUCCGCUACACCCAUUUUGUGUACGUGUUGAUGCUUCACCACCCAACAUUCUGUGCCAUACAACAUCGCUAGCCUUAUUGCCGUCCUAUAAAAUUUUCCCUUGAGCUUCAGUGGCCUACGACGGUCACACAACACGCCGGAUGCACUCUUUCCAUCCAGCUCGUAUUCUAUGGUUGAGAUCUCCAUCUAAUUCUCCGUUCUCUUGCAAGAUAGAUCCUAGGUAGCGAAAACGAUCGCUUUUUGUGAUCUUCGCUAGAUUGCUCCGGUCAUUAGUGUGGAUAAGUAUAUAAAUGGAUAGAGAUAGGAAAGCAAACACAAGAUGUACGUGGUUCACCCAGAUUGGCUACGUCGUCCACGGAAUAGAAGAGUUCUCAUUAAUUGUGAAGGGUUUACACAAGUACAUAAGUUCAAGCUCUCAUUUAGUGAGUACAAGUGAAUGAUUUAGUACAAAUGACAUUAGGAAAUAUUGUGGGAGAAUGAUCUCGUAAUCACGAAACUUUCUAAGUAUCGGAGUGUGGUGUCGUCUUGACUUGCCUUAUCUGUCUCAUAGGUAGAUGUGGCAUCUUCUCUGGAAGUACUCUUCCUCCAUCCAGGGGUGGUAUCUUUAACUGGUGGAGAUGCACAAGGUAAUGUAUCAAUUUCACUUGAAGCUUACUUGUAGUUUCAGGCUUGGUCAAGCGCGAUACAAAACCAUGUAGUAGGAGUCCCCCAAGUCGCCGAGCUAGGGGGUCUGCUGAAAGAGGUGACAGACAAGGUAAGCAAUCAGAGCUCCGACUGAUUGUUCACCUUCUCCCCAUCUUGCAGCAGCAUGAAGGAUAAAGAGAAGAAAAAUGAGAAGAGAUGAUAUGAGAUACUUUUGCUUUUGAAGAAGUAACUUUCCACAGGCUUAUUCUUGAACUGAGCUGGAGGGUUUUCUGGUUUUCUCCAGAGUAUAAAGCCGACUGAAGAAUUUGAGGGUCAAAACAAGUCCAUCAAAUCUAGAGUACGUUCCACCCUGCUGAUAUGGGAUACUUUUGCUUUUGACAGAGUAAUGAAUGUAUCGGCACGUGUGCUGUUACGCUUGUCUCCAUAUGCUUCCUUGUAUCCUUCGCACUUGCCCUAUCUGUUCCUCAAGCAGAUGCGGAAUCUUCCCUGGAAACAUAAGAUGUUGAAGAUGAGUACUCGAGAGCAAUGCCAGGUAAGUAAUCAGGUAAGGGGUUCCAGGCAGUCAGUUCCUGGCUGGAAGCUUGAUUCCAAGUGCUGACUGAUUGCUCUCUUUCUCAUUGUCUUGCAGGUAAAAACAAGGCCAAAAGAAAAGACAGGGAAAAAACAUGAUAUGGGAUACUCUUGCUUUUAACCCUGAUGAUAUGAGAUAUUCUUGCUCUAGUAUAGCUUGUUUGCAGAGGUAUUAUCGGGGGGAAAGAAAGAUGAAUAUUUUGAAAGGCUUCGUUGGGAGUGCCCUUUCAGAUAUGAUGAAGGGUUGAGCAUUUUUGCAGGUCUGCCUGUCCGUUGGGGAUGGAGGUCGACAUAUAUAGGAGUCUCCCUAACAACAAGUAGUAAUGCUAUUCCUUUACCCUGCUUGGUCAUCAUAGCACGGUAGUGGGAGCUGCCAGUUUCACAUGUUUUAACUCUGUCAGAGCACUUUGAAAAAGUGGUCUGUGGUAUCUGGCUCUCGAGAUUCGGAGAACGAUGCCUCUUCGAUUUUUGAGAAAGCAAUCAUGCUGGGGGUAUGACUCUCGAGAUUCGGAGAGCAGUGUCUCUUCGAUUUUUGAGGAAGUAAUCAUGUUGGGAGUCUGGCUCUCGAGAUUCGGAGGGCGGUGCCUCUUCGAUUUUGGAGCAAGCAAUCUUGUUGGGAGUGUUGUCUCGAAUGUGAGUAAAGGUUGGGCAUGUUUGCUAGUCUACCUUGCCACGAAGCACAAAGGUUGACACACAGGGACUUUCCAAUUAUCCAGCAAUGGUACUGUUCCUUUACCCUCUCUUCGAUUUUGAGAAAGUAGUCAUGUUGGGAGUCUGGCUCUCGAGAUUCGGAGGACGGUGCCUCUUCGAUUUUGGAGCAAGCAAUCUUAUUGGGAGUGUUUUCUCGAAUGUGAGUAAAGGUUAGGCAUGUUUGCUAGUCUACCUUGCCACGAAGCACAGAGGUUGACACACAGGGACUUUCCAAUUAUCCAGCAGUGGUACUGUUCCUUUACAGUUGUGGGUAAUAAUAUGGUAGCUAGACCUUCAAAAUUUAUGUGUCUAAACUUUUGUUAGUGCUGUUUCUUUGCUAUUCUUUUACCUUUCUUGGUCAGAGCGAUGUAGUGGGAGCUGCAAGCUUCACGUGCUCAACUUUGGCAGAGAACUUUGGCAAAGUUAUUUGUGGUACCCAUGAGCUAUUGUUGCGUGUGGGAAGUGGGUGAUUGAACAGUAAGAUUCAUGUGCUUUCUACUUCACCAGAAGUCUUCGAUAGAAUGCCCAUAAUUUCUACAAAGCUGAGUGUGCGUGUGACAGGUGCUGACAAGGCUAGAAAAGUAGGUGCUUCUUCGAUUUCUGAGAUCGGCCCUCGUGGUCUCUAAGCAGCCCAGCUUUUGAGAAAGCGAGCGCCUCUUCGAUUGAUUCGGAGAACGAUGCCUCAUCGAUUUUUGAAAAAGCAAUCAUGCUGGGGGUCUGGCUCUGGAGAUUCGGGGAGCAGUGUCUCUUCGAUUUUUGAGAAAGUAAUCAUGUUGGGAGUCUGGCUCUCGAGAUUCGGAGGGCGGUGCCUCUUCGAUUUUGGAGCAAGCAAUCUUGUUGGGAGUGUUUUCUCGAAUGUGAGUAAAGGUUGGGCAUGUUUGCUAGUCUACCUUGCCACGAAGCACAGAGGUUGACACACAGGGACUUUUCAAUUAUCCAGCAAUGGUACUGUUCCUUUACCCUCUCUUCGAUUUUUAAGAAAGUAGUCAUGUUGGGAGUCUGGCUCUCGAGAUUCGGAGGACGGUGCCUCUUCGAUUUUGGAGCAAGCAAUCUUAUUGGGAGUGUUUUCUCGAAUGUGAGUAAAGGUUGGGCAUGUUUGCUAGUCUACCUUGCCACGAAGCACAGAGGUUGACACACAGGGACUUUCCAAUUAUCCAGCAGUGGUACUGUUCCUUUACCCUUGUGGGUAAUAAUAUGGUAGCUAGACCUUCAAAAUUUAUGGGUCUAAACUUUGUUAGUGCUGUUUCUUUGCUAUUCUUUUACCCUUCUUGGUCAGAGCGAUGUAGUGGGAGCUGCAAGCUUCACGUGCUCAACUUUGGCAGAGAACUUUGGCAAAGUUAUUUGUGGUACCCAUGAGCUAUUGUUGCGUGUGUGGGAAGUGGGUGAUUGAAUAGUAAGAUUCAUGUGUUUUCUACUUCCCCAGAAGUCUUUGACAGAAUGCCCAUAAUUUCCGCAAAACUGAGUGUGCGUGUGACAGGUGCUGACAAGGCUGGAAAAGGCUGGAAAAGUAGGUGCCUCUUCGAUUUCUGAUAUCGGCCCUAGUGGUCUCUGGGGAGCCCAGCUUUUGAGAAAGCGAGCGCCUCUUCGAUUUUUGAGAUCGGCCUUCGUGGUGGUCUUUGAGCAGCCCAACUUUUGAGAAAGCAAACGCCUCUUCGAUUUCUGAGAUCAACCCUCGUGAUCUCUAAGCAGCCCAGCUUUUGAGAAAGCAAACGCCUCUUCGAUUUCUGAGCAGGCGCCUCUUCGAUUUCUGAAGCUUCGUCGAGUGCAGAUUUUUAUAGGGGCUGUCAUUAAGUUCCAAAGCACACUUGAAUCUCCACCAGUAGAAGCUUCAUUCUUGCACUUCUAAGAUCUUGAUUUGUCCGACCUCUUCUCUCUUCAACACCUUUGAAAAUGUCUGGCCCCUCCGACCGUCGUUUUGACUUGAACCUUGUUGAAGAGGCAGCCCCGCCUUCUCCAGACAACAUAUGGCGCCCAUCCUUCGUCUCCCCUACUGGUCCUCUUACCGUUGGGGAUUCCGUGAUGAAGAAUGAUAUGACCGCUGCGGUGGUGGCCAGGAACCUUCUCACUCCCAAAGAUAACAGACUACUUUCCAAACGGUCUGAUGAGUUAGCUGUUAAGGAUUCGCUGGCUCUCAGUGUUCAGUGUGCAGGUUCUGUGUCUAAUAUGGCCCAACGCCUAUUUGCUCGAACCCGCCAAGUUGAAUCAUUGGCGGCUGAAGUGAUGAGUCUCAAACAGGAGAUUAGAGGGCUCAAGCAUGAGAAUAAACAAUUGCACCGGCUCGCACAUGACUAUGCUACAAACAUGAAGAGGAAGCUUGACCAGAUGAAGGAAACUGAUGGUCAGGUUUUACUUGAUCAUCAGAGAUUUUGUGGGUUUGUUCCAAAGGCAUUUAUUGCCUUCGUCUUCUGGGGCUGUACCGCGUAAUGAAGCUCCAAAUGAUCAACCUCUGAUGCCUCCUUCUAGGGUUCUGUCCAGUACUGAGGCUCCAAAUGAUCCCCCUCCGGUGCCUUCUCUUUCUGGGGCUCUACCGACUGUUGAGACUUCUCCUAAGCAACCUUUGUGAAGGCUCCCUCUUGUGUGCUUAUUUUGACUCAUGUAUAUGUACAUAUUUGUAGCUUAUCGGGGAUAUCAAUAAAUAAGCUUUCCUUCAUUUCAACGUAUUGUGUUAAAUACACCAAAGCCUUCUUCGCUAAGUUCUUUGAAUUUUCUUUUGUUAAAGCUUGUAUGUUGAAGCUUUCUGAGUGGAGCAUGUAGGUUGGGGUAGUGUUCCCUUAAUUUCCCGAGUGAGGAAAACUUCUCGGUUGGAGACUUGGAAAAUCCAAGUCACUGAGUGGGAUCGGCUAUAUGAAUCUUAGAACGCCAUUGUGCUCGAUCCUGUGUCAUGUCCUUCGUUAGAUCCAAGUACUCUAAGUCUUUUCUUAGAGUCUCUUCCAAAGUUUUCCUAGGUCUUCCUCUACCCCUUCGGCCCUGAACCUCUGUCCCAUAGUCGCAUCUUCUAAUCGGAACGUCAGUAGUAGGCCUUCUUUGCACAUGUCCAAACCACCGUAACCGAUUUUCUCUCAUCUUUCCUUCAAUUUCGGCUACUCCUACUUUACCCCGGAUAUCCUCAUUCCUAAUCUUAUCCUUUCUCGUGUGCCCACACAUCCAACGAAGCAUCCUCAUCUCCGCUACACCCAUUUUGUGUACGUGUUGAUGUUUCACCGUCCAACAUUCUGUGCCAUACAGCAUCGCCGGCCUUAUUGCCGUCCUAUAAAAUUUUCCCUUGAGCUUCAGUGGCAUACGGCGGUCACACAACACGCCGGAUGCACUCUUCCACUUCAUCCAUCCAGCUUGUAUUCUAUGGUUGAGAUCUCCAUCUAAUUCUCCGUUCUUUUGCAAGAUAGAUCCUAGGUAACAAAAACGGUCGCUCUUUGGUAUUUCUUGAUCUCCGAUCCUCACCCCUAACUCGUUUUGGCCUCCAUUUGCACUGAACUUGCACUCCAUAUAUUCUGUCUUUGAUCGGCUUAGGCGAAGACCUUUAGAUUCCAACACUUCUCUCCAAAGGUUAAGCUUUGCAUUUACCCCUUCCUGAGUUUCAUCUAUCAACACUAUAUCGUCUGCGAAAAGCAUACACCAAGGAAUAUCAUCUUGAAUAUGUCGUGUUAACUCAUCCAUUACCAACGCAAAAAGGUAAGGACUUAAGGAUGAGCCUUGAUGUAAUCCUACAGUUAUGGGAAAGCUUUCGGUUUGUCCUUCAUGAGUUCUUACAGCAGUCUUUUGCUCCUUCAUACAUAUCCUUUAUAGCUUGGAUAUAUGCUACUCGUACUCCUUUUCUUCUCUAAAAUCCUCCAAAGAAUGUCUCUUGGGACCCUAUCAUACGCUUUUUCCAAAUCUAUAAAGACCAUGUGUAAAUCCUUUUUCCCAUCUCUAUAUCUUUCCAUCAAUCUUCGUAAGAGAUAGAUUGCCUCCAUGGUUGAGCGCCCUGGCAUGAACCCGAAUUGGUUAUCCGAAACCCGUGUCUCUUGCCUCAAUCUAUGCUCAAUGACUCUCUCCCAGAGCUUCAUUGUAUGACUCAUUAGCUUAAUACCCCUAUAGUUCAUGCAAUUUUGUACGUCGCCCUUAUUCUUGUAGAUAGGCACCAAAGUGCUCAUUCGCCACUCAUUUGGCAUCUUCUUCGUUUUCAAAAUCCUAUUGAAAAGGUCAGUGAGCCAUGUUAUACCUGUCUCUCCCAAAAGUUUCCACACUUCGAUUGGUAUAUCGUCUGGGCCUAUUGCUUUUUUAUGCUUCAUCUUCUUCAAAGCUACAACCACUUCUUCCUUCCGGAUUCGACGAUAAAAAGAGUAGUUUCUACACUCUUCUGAGUUACUCAACUCCCAUAAAGAAGCACUCAUUUCAUGUCCUUCAUUGAAAAGAUUAUGAAAAUAACAUCUCCAUCUAUCUUUAACCGCGUUCUCUGUAGCAAGAACCUUUCCAUCCUCAUCCUUGAUGCACCUCACUUGGUUUAGGUCCCUUGUCUUCUUUUCCCUUGCUCUAGAUAGUUUAUAGAUAUCCAACUCUCCUUCUUUGGUAUCUAGUCGUUUAUACAUAUCGUUGUAAGCCGCUAACUUAGCUUCUCUGACAGCUUUCUUCGCCUCUUGCUUCGCUUUUCUAUACCUUUCACCAUUUUCAUCAGUCCUCUCCUUGUAUAAGGCUUUACAACAUUCCUUCUUAGCCUUCACCUUUAUUUGUACCUCCUCAUUCCACCACCAAGAUUCCUUUUGGUGUGGGGCAAAGCCCUUGGACUCUCCUAAUACCUCUUUUGCUACUUUUCGGAUACAACUAGCCAUGGAAUCCCACAUUUGGCUAGCUUCCCCCUCUCUAUCCCACACACAUUGGGUGAUUACCUUCUCUUUGAAAAUGGCUUGUUUUUUCUUCUUUUAGAUUCCACCAUCUAGUCCUUGGGCACUUCCAAGUCUUGUUCUUUUGUCUUACUCUUUUGAUAUGUACAUCCAUCACCAACAAGCGAUGUUGAUUAGCCACGCUCUCUCUCCUGGUAUAACUUUGCAAUCCUUACAAGUUAUACGAUCCCCUUUCCUCAUUAGAAGAAAAUCUAUUUGUGUUUUUGACGACCCACUCUUGUAGGUGAUCACAUGUUUCUUCUCUCUUCUUAAAGAAGGUGUUGGCUAAGAAGAGAUCAUAUGCCAUUGCAAAAUCCAAGAUAGCUUCCCCAUCCUCGUUUCUCUCCCCAAAACCAUGGCCACCAUGAAAACCUCCAUAGUUGCCUGUCUCCCUGCCCACGUGUCCAUUUAAAUCUCCUCCUAUAAAUAACUUCUCCGUCUGAGCAAUUCCUUGCACCAAGUCUCCAAGAUCUUCCCAAAAUUUCUCCUUCGAACUCGUAUCCAACCCUACUUGAGGUGCGUACGCACUAAUCACAUUGAUAAGUUCUUGUCCUAUUACAAUCUUGAUUGCCAUGAUUCUAUCUCCUACCCUCUUGACAUCUACAACAUCUUGUACCAAGGUCUUGUCCACGAUUAUGCCAACACCGUUUCUCGUUCUAUUUGUGCCCGAAUACCAAAGUUUAAACCCUGAGUUUUCUAGAUCCUUUGCCUUACUACCAACCCACUUAGUUUCUUGUAGGCACAUAAUAUUUAUCCUUCUCCUCACCAUAACUUCCACUACUUCCAUAGAUUUUUCCCGUUAAGGUUCCUAUAUUCCACGUUCCUAAACGCAUUUUGCUCUCUUGAACUCUACCCUUCUGUCCUAGCUUCUUCACCCUCCCCCGUCUAAUAGGAUCAAAGUACUUCUUUUGUGUGUCCCGGGUAAAGUUGAUAGGAGCAUAUGCUCCCAAACAACUUUGAGUGGAGUCGUUCGAAAAGAAGUUUCUAUGGCCCCCUUGCUCAUUUAACACUGCAUCCGGGUGCCGAUGGAGAUACAGCGACCCUUGCUCACUUAUCACUGUGCUCAGGCCACACAGCGCGCCACUUACGGGUGACGCCCUAGCUUUAGCGCGAUUUUGUUCUGGAUUCAUUUUCAUAAGGAUUCGACGUGAUCAUGGAGUGCCGGCUGUCGACUACCUGACGCCCUCCCCCUCCUCCUUUAUCCGGGCUUGGGACCAGCCAUGUAAGACAUAGGCGGAGUUACUGUUAAACCUGAUGUAAAAUGAAAAAAAUAUGAAUCGUGCUUCAUGUGGAGGGUAGGUUUAAUUACUUUGUUCAAAAUGAAGCCAUGUCUCGUGGUUUAGGGUUUGACCAAUAAUAUGAUAUUGUCUGCCGAAGGAUCUUCUUCGGCGUGUAAUUAUAUGCACCUUCAGUGAUUAGGGUUUACUUUGUUCUACAACGAAGGACGAGAGCAAGUUUAGGAGCUUGAAGAAAAAUAGUCUUGAGAUGUAGGUUCUUACGUUGGAUUAUUUGUGGUGCAUGUGUAUAGAGAAAACAAAGUUUUAUGGUCAAACCGGAUUAAUGAUUCCUAUGGUGAUAUGGUAUUCAAGAUAGUCCAUGUGAUAAACAAAUUAGGAUAUGAACCCUUGCGGUGAAGAUUGUUGGCAAAUUGGGUUGUUUAGAUAUAGACCCUUAUAACUAUUAUCGUCUAGACAAAAACCCACCUCAUAUUAAACAUCCAAAUAAAAUCCAAAAUUCAAAAAGUCUGUCAUAUUGGCAAAUAAAUGACCUAUCCUUAUAAAAUAUUUACAACUUAUGCCAUAAUGACCUAAAUAUUUCAAUGGAUAUUAUUAUUACUCACCUUCAAUUAUGCUAGCAAUGAGCAAUUUUAAAACCACGUAUUACAGACUAUUUACCCAUAUUUUAAAAAUUCACUAAUUUACCUACAUUCUUUUGAUACAAACUAAUUACCUAUAUUUUAAAAAUUCACUAAUUUACCUACAUUCUUUUGUUACAAGCUAAUUUAUCUGCAUUUUUGUAGUACAUACUAAUUCACCAAUCUAUAAAUGGGGGUAAGGCUAGCCGACAUUCACCUCUCCCAGACCCUGCGUAAAGCGGGAGCCUUGUGCACUGGGUACGACCUUUUAUACUAAUUCACCAAUCUACUUAUUAAUUUACCUAUACAAAUAAUACUGUCAUAUAAUUAAUUAUAAUAUCCAAAGUAAUCAUAUACAUUUUUUUUCUUUACAAUAUCACGUCUAUGGGGAAGGUAAAUUAUUUUUACAGUAUUUCUAAUCUAAGUGGGUACUAACAUAUAGAUAGGUAAAUUAUUUUCUAUGAAAAGAAAAAAAAAUACAACCAUUAAUUUGUAUAAUUUUUUUGACACAAAUUAUUUGUCCAUGUUUCAACGUAAAACACCAUAAUAUUUUUAUUUAUAUUAUAUAUUGCAUUGAAAAGAAAGCCUAAUCAAACAAUAGGUUAAUUGACAUUUAAUUGCAUUGAAAACAAUAAAAUGCAAAAUUUAUUAAUAAUCAUAAGUCAAACCUAACUCACGUUACACUCUAUGAGUGUAUUUUAGGAACAUGAGAAUUAUAAAAACUGACAUUCCAAGCUUGUUAAGGAAAUUUGAUUAGUUGGACUCUAGUACUGACAUUCCAAACUUGUUAAGGAAAUUUGAUUAGUUGGACUCUAGUAAAUGGGGUUUAAGUCUGAAAAAAUAAAGAGGAUGGGUUUUAAGUGAGAAAAUAAGUUUUAAGGGGGGAACUCUCAUUUUGAGUUUUGGUAACCUUCUUCUCUCUUCCUUUCUCUGUGUCCUCAACUCUCUGAUCUCCAGGCUCUCAGACAUUUAUUCUUUCUGUUAACAUUCUUCUCUUUCUCUUUCUAAAUUUUGUCUCCGUCAAUGGAUUGAUGUGCGCAAAUUUAAUUCAAACAUAUAGUACUAAUUAAAAUAGCGGAAUUGCAAAAUGAAGCAAACAGAUGAUAAAACAAAGAAAGAUUAAUAAACUUAGCCAAGAAGAAUAAUAUGAGUAAGUAGCGUUAUAGCUUCAUUUAUUGGGGAAUAUGUUACACGCACAUCCUUUUUGAUCAAGUACUUCUCUCAUCCUUUUUGAUCACUUGAUUAACAAUUUAGUUCAAGUAAAUGGCCAAGAAGGACAAGAGUGAAGCUCCAACCAGAGAUCCAACGGCGUUCAUGCUACUUCCAUUAGGUGCUGGAGUAGAAGCUACAGGGCCAGCUGUGGCUGCAGCGGCGGGGGUGGCUGCAGCGGUGGUGGCUGCAGUGGGGGUGGCUGCAGAGGUGGUGGCUGCAGCGCCCUUUACAGGUGCAGCAGCCAUUGCUGCGCUGAUGCAGACGGCAACUACGAGGACAACCAAGGCAAUCUUCUUCAUGGCCAUUUUGCGAGCGGCGUGUGGUCGGUCAA
RNAcentral lists this long non-coding RNA (19416 nucleotides) under Malus domestica (apple). RNAcentral describes it as "long non-coding RNA (MDOM_LNC002319)". Lineage: Eukaryota; Viridiplantae; Streptophyta; Magnoliopsida; Rosales; Rosaceae. The record is from RNAcentral.